This 572-nucleotide long non-coding RNA is filed under the name Fragaria vesca (wild strawberry). RNAcentral describes it as "long non-coding RNA (FVES_LNC003635)". Lineage: Eukaryota; Viridiplantae; Streptophyta; Magnoliopsida; Rosales; Rosaceae. The record is from RNAcentral.
AGCUAGGCAAAUUAUAUAACAUUUGUUGGUGAGAAUAAAAUUCUUAAAAAGAUGGCUAGAAAAGAGUUUGGAAUUAUGAUGCUGUACUUCUGUGUGUUACAAAUCGAGGUCGUGGUGAUAAAGCUUAAACCCUAAGCUAAAGAACAGAGAAAGAGAAGAAGAGCAGAGGAAGAAAACGAAGAGAAAGCUAUGAAUUGUAAGUGCACAAUUGGUUUCUGCUUGCUAUCCCAAUGGAUGUGAACUUGGGCCAAUCUGUUCAUCUUCAUCUUCACACUGUUGUGUAACAAAAUGUGUGUCCCUGGAAACAGAAACUCAGGGCUUGAGGCUUUGAACCGUUCCAAUAAUCAUCAAUGACGUUUUUUUUUGCUACGUAUGUUAGAUAAUUAUUGUUUGACAACAAAAGUAAUGUGUUAGAGUUUUAUAUAUGGCGGAAUAAUGCCCAUUUGGUACUAAUUAUUGGGCUUUUUUGCCCAUUUCAAUCAAAAACGUUUUUCAUUGCCCAUUUCAAUUAUUCUUACCAAAAUUAUUUUUCUAUCCCUAACCUAACUAUCUAAUCUUAUCCCUCCANNNNN